Molecule: non-coding RNA, 633 nt
Organism: Paramuricea clavata
Lineage: Eukaryota; Metazoa; Cnidaria; Anthozoa; Malacalcyonacea; Plexauridae
Source: the annotation of a GenBank genome assembly
UGACAUUGAUAGGUGCAUUAUAGGACACUGUCUUUAAAAUAUGCGGAUGGUAUUACGAGAAGUACAGUUUUGACUAGUUUUGAAUGCAUAAAUUUAUACUAUUUUACUCACAUGUUGCUCGUACUGCGUAACAUUUUCUCUUUGUCCCACAGUCGCCAGAAGUCAACAGCACGUUCCCCUCUUUGUGUACGUACACGAACGACCAGCUUCUAUUUUCUUCCUAUUUUCGUGCUCGAUAAUAAAUCUCUCCUGCAUUUUUCUUUCCCUCUCAGAUCUUUUUUCUCUUUUAAACAUCCCUGUAUAUCUCUCUCGCUCUUUCUUGUUUAAUUAUCUUUUGUCUUUUACGACGAAUUCCUCGAUCGUGUUCGGCCUGGAAAGCCGACCUAGCUUCGAAAGUAUAUGCUCGCUCUGUCUCGCUGGUUGCACUGAGAUUUCUCCCAGAUCGUGACGUAUCCCACCAUUAGCAAGUGCGCCACUCGCUGUGUGGAAUGUCGUGUUAAAAUGCGCCAUUUCAACCGACUUUACGUAAGCUCAUACGACCAGACGACCUUGCUUGCUGAUGAUCAAGUGCAAAUUCCCGCGCGCGCUCUUUGUUUACAUAUUGCUGCACAAAUAUUACCUUCCCCUCCCUCC